UACUCCUACGGGAGGCAGCAGUGGGGAAUUUUGGACAAUGGGCGCAAGCCUGAUCCAGCCAUGCCGCGUGUCUGAAGAAGGCCUUCGGGUUGUAAAGGACUUUUGUCAGGGAAGAAAAGGGCGGGGUUAAUACCCCUGUCUGAUGACGGUACCUGAAGAAUAAGCACCGGCUAACUACGUGCCAGCAGCCGCGGUAAUACGUAGGGUGCGAGCGUUAAUCGGAAUUACUGGGCGUAAAGCGGGCGCAGACGGUUACUUAAGCAGGAUGUGAAAUCCCCGGGCUCAACCUGGGAACUGCGUUCUGAACUGGGUGACUAGAGUGUGUCAGAGGGAGGUAGAAUUCCACGUGUAGCAGUGAAAUGCGUAGAGAUGUGGAGGAAUACCGAUGGCGAAGGCAGCCUCCUGAGAUAACACUGACGUUCAUGCCCGAAAGCGUGGGUAGCAAACAGGAUUAGAUACCCUGGUAGUCCACGCCCUAAACGAUGUCGAUUAGCUGUUGGGCAGCAUGACUGCUUAGUAGCGAAGCUAACGCGUGAAAUCGACCGCCUGGGGAGUACGGUCGCAAGAUUAAAACUCAAAGGAAUUGACGGA
Molecule: ribosomal RNA, 591 nt
Filed under: uncultured bacterium
Lineage: Bacteria
Description: bacterial SSU rRNA
Rfam family: Bacterial small subunit ribosomal RNA
Source: RNAcentral